GUUCUAGCUUGAUUUGAGGCGGCGGCGGCGGCGGAGGAAGGAAGAUGGAGACAAUUCUGGAGCAGCAGCGGCGCUAUCACGAGGAGAAGGAACGGCUCAUGGACGUCAUGGCUAAAGAGAUGCUCACUAAGAAGUCCACGCUCCGGGACCAGAUCAAUUCUGACCACCGCACACGGGCCAUGCAAGAUAGGUAUAUGGAAGUCAGUGGGAACCUGAGGGAUUUGUAUGAUGAUAAGGAUGGGUUACGAAAGGAGGAACUCAAUGCCAUUUCAGGACCCAAUGAAUUUGCUGAAUUCUAUAAUAGACUCAAACAAAUAAAGGAAUUCCACCGGAAGCACCCAAAUGAGAUCUGUGUGCCAAUGUCAGUGGAAUUUGAGGAGCUCCUGAAGGCUCGAGAGAAUCCAAGUGAAGAGGCACAAAAUUUGGUGGAGUUCACAGAUGAAGAGGGAUAUGGUCGUUACCUUGAUCUCCAUGACUGUUACCUCAAAUACAUUAACCUGAAGGCCUCUGAGAAGCUGGAUUAUAUCACUUACCUGUCAAUCUUCGACCAGUUGUUUGACAUUCCGAAAGAAAGGAAGAAUGCAGAGUAUAAGAGAUAUCUGGAGAUGCUGCUUGAGUACCUUCAGGAUUACACAGAUAGAGUGAAACCUCUCCAAGAUCAGAAUGAACUUUUUGGGAAAAUUCAGAAUGAGUUUGAGAAGAAGUGGGAGAAUGGUACUUUUCCUGGAUGGCCGAAAGAGACAAGCAGUGCCCUGACGCAUGCCGGAGCCCAUCUUGACCUCUCUGCAUUCUCCUCCUGGGAGGAGUUGGCCUCCCUGGGUCUGGACAGAUUGAAAUCUGCACUGUUAGCUUUAGGCCUGAAGUGCGGCGGGACCCUAGAAGAGAGAGCCCAGAGGCUAUUCAGCACCAAAGGAAAGUCCCUGGAGUCACUCGACACCUCCCUGUUUGCCAAAAAUCCCAAGUCAAAGGGCACUAAACGAGACACUGAGAGGAACAAAGACAUUGCUUUCCUAGAAGCCCAGAUCUAUGAAUAUGUAGAGAUUCUUGGGGAACAGCGACAUCUCACUCAUGAAAAUGUACAGCGCAAGCAGGCAAGAACCGGAGAAGAGCGAGAAGAGGAGGAGGAAGAGCAGAUCAGCGAGAGUGAAAGUGAAGACGAAGAGAAUGAAAUCAUUUACAACCCCAAGAACCUGCCCCUUGGCUGGGAUGGCAAACCCAUUCCUUACUGGUUGUAUAAGCUUCAUGGCCUGAAUAUCAACUAUAACUGUGAGAUCUGUGGAAACUACACCUACCGAGGUCCCAAGGCCUUCCAGCGGCAUUUUGCUGUAAGGAAUUCAGAGCCAUUUCUCCUGGACGUUGAAGCAUGAAACAUGAGUCUUUUAGAGAAGAGGAUAGGAGCAGCCUGAGAGGACCACUAGUGUCCAGAGCCUAAGAGAAUCAGAGAAGGAGUGGAUCUAAAGUCCAGCAUGUGGCAUUUGGCCUCUAGCACCAGUGCCAGCCUUGGGUAGUACCUGAGAUGGUUUCUGGAGGCAUCCCACCACUCUGCUGUUUGAACCUCAUUUCUAUUUCCUCUUGCUUGCUCUUUAUUUUUCUUUUUGCCUUUCUGACUCCUUGGUCAUUUCUCUAUCCUGUUGCUAGUACUCAGGACCAAAGAAAAGGCUGACCGCCUCCUUCUUUGGGUCUUAAAUGGGCCUUUGCCUCUUGAAAAAAAAAGAAACGAAGAGGAUGACAUUUAUCAAGCUAUUCUUGAGAGAAAGCAUUAUCUGGGUGGUACUCCAAUGUACAUAUUACUAAUUGAUCCUGGGGUCUUUUCCGCCAGGCUCCUGAGUACUCUCUGAAUCUUUCUCAACACCACCUCCAACGAAUUAGAAUUGGCAUCCAGGGCCCAUACCAUUUGCUGUCCCUGAGCCAGAACUGUCAUGCAUCAGCAUCUCUUACUGGUCUCUUUCGUAUCCUUGCCUAUAUCUGAUAAACAGUCUUCUCCUUUACUUCCAGAGAUGACGCUGACCAGCCAUCAGUAACGCUUACUCAUGCUGGUGGGGGGGGGGGGUUGCUUGGGAGGUGACUGGUGAGUUGUGGUCUUGACACAGGUUUUGUCUGGAUCUGGAAUCUAAGUUUUUAAUAAACCAGCCCAGUGAGGCAAACGGUGCAGUGCUGCUUUGAAGUAACGGCCUCUUGUCAGUGACAGCCAGCUGUCUACAAACAAGAGCCACAAAAGGAAUGCUGCCUUUAAGUGGAGCCUUUUGCAAAGGGUCAGGGUAGGGCUUCUGAGUAGAAUGGAGUUAGUGGUCAGUGUUCAGCCAUCCCGUUUCACAUUGUCCUCUCGCUUCUCCCAGGAAUGGCGUCAUGCUCAUGGCAUGAGGUGUUUGGGCAUCCCAAACACUGCCCACUUUGCUAACGUGACACAGAUUGAAGACGCCGUCUCCU
This is a non-coding RNA of Kogia breviceps (pygmy sperm whale), 2427 nucleotides long. Lineage: Eukaryota; Metazoa; Chordata; Mammalia; Artiodactyla; Physeteridae. The record is from RefSeq and is a predicted model, not a curated record.